CAGCCGCCGCGGUAAUACGUAGGGCGCAAGCGUUAUCCGGAAUUAUUGGGCGUAAAGAGCUCGUAGGCGGUUUGUCGCGUCUGCCGUGAAAGUCCGGGGCUCAACCCCGGAUCUGCGGUGGGUACGGGCAGACUAGAGUGAUGUAGGGGAGACUGGAAUUCCUGGUGUAGCGGUGAAAUGCGCAGAUAUCAGGAGGAACACCGAUGGCGAAGGCAGGUCUCUGGGCAUUAACUGACGCUGAGGAGCGAAAGCAUGGGGAGCGAACAGGAUUAGAUACCCCCGUAGUCCCUGUCUCUUAUAA
This 301-nucleotide ribosomal RNA is filed under the name uncultured bacterium. RNAcentral's name for it is "partial 16S ribosomal RNA". It matches the Rfam family "Bacterial small subunit ribosomal RNA", at positions 509 to 809 of the family's 1533-position model. The record is from RNAcentral.